Molecule: small RNA, 435 nt
Filed under: Arabidopsis thaliana (thale cress)
Lineage: Eukaryota; Viridiplantae; Streptophyta; Magnoliopsida; Brassicales; Brassicaceae
Description: ATSL249270
Source: RNAcentral
AAAAAUCCACAAAAAUAUUUAGAAACCAAACAUUGUUGAAAAUAUAUUUUCUAUAUAUGCCGUAAUCUCGUAAGUUAAUUUUACAUCAUGCAAAUUAAUAUUAAAUGAGUUAAAAUUAAUAAAUAAAAAUAAUUGAAAAGUUAAGUCCUGUAAGCUAAGCUAUUUUUCUCAAAAUGUUCUAUUUUCACUUAUGAUUACAUGAGUUAAAGACAAAUUUGUUAAUUUUCCUUUUGUUGAAUAAAUGUUAAUUGUUUAUAAAUAUAUAGACAUAUAAAUUAGUAUAUGUAAAUUUGUUUACUUUUUAAGAUUUUCUAUUUUUUUAGAGAAUUAAAAAGUUAAAUUUUGAAUGACACAUGUAAACAUCUGAUCGUUUGACUUGACACGUGGCACAAUCCUAUGAGUUAGCAACUUUGAAAACCAUACUUUAUAUAAUAA